GAUGAAGAACGUAGCGAAAUGCGAUAAGUAAUGUGAAUUGCAGAAUUCAGUGAAUCAUCGAGUCUUUGAACGCUCAUUGCGUCCCCUGGUAUUCCGGGGGGCAUGCCUGUCCGAGCGUCAUUGCUGCCCUCAAGCACGGCUUGUGUGUUGGGCCUCCGUCCUCCUCCCGGGGGACGGGCCCGAAAGGCAGCGGCGGCACCGCGUCCGGUCCUCGAGCGUAUGGGGCUUCGUCACCCGCUCUUGUAGGCCCGGCCGGCGCUUGCCGACACAUCAAUCUUUUUUCCAGGUUGACCUCGGAUCAGGUAGGGAUACCCGCUGAACUUAAGCAUAUCAAUAAGCGGAGGA
RNAcentral lists this unclassified non-coding RNA (345 nucleotides) under soil metagenome. RNAcentral's name for it is "partial contains 5.8S ribosomal RNA, internal transcribed spacer 2, and large subunit ribosomal RNA". The stretch from base 1 to 120 matches the Rfam family "5.8S ribosomal RNA", at positions 35 to 154 of the family's 154-position model. The record is from RNAcentral.